This 253-nucleotide ribosomal RNA is filed under the name uncultured bacterium. RNAcentral's name for it is "partial 16S ribosomal RNA". It matches the Rfam family "Bacterial small subunit ribosomal RNA", at positions 524 to 776 of the family's 1533-position model. The record is from RNAcentral.
UACGUAGGGUGCGAGCGUUAAUCGGAAUUACUGGGCGUAAAGCGUGCGCAGGCGGCUUCGCAAGUCAGACGUGAAAUCCCCGGGCUUAACCUGGGAAUGGCGUUUGAAACUACGGAGCUGGAGUAUGGCAGAGGGGGAUGGAAUUCCACGUGUAGCGGUGAAAUGCGUAGAUAUGUGGAGGAACACCGAUGGCGAAGGCAGCCCCCUGGGCCAAUACUGACGCUCAUGCACGAAAGCGUGGGGAGCAAACAGG